This 548-nucleotide ribosomal RNA is filed under the name Epicoccum nigrum. RNAcentral describes it as "eukaryotic LSU rRNA". The stretch from base 177 to 330 matches the Rfam family "5.8S ribosomal RNA". Lineage: Eukaryota; Fungi; Ascomycota; Dothideomycetes; Pleosporales; Didymellaceae. The record is from RNAcentral.
CUUCCGUAGGGUAACCUGCGGAAUGGAUCAUUACCUAGAGUUUGUAGACUUCGGUCUGCUACCUCUUACCCAUGUCUUUUGAGUACCUUCGUUUCCUCGGCGGGUCCGCCCGCCGAUUGGACAACAUUCAAACCCUUUGCAGUUGCAAUCAGCGUCUGAAAAAACAUAAUAGUUACAACUUUCAACAACGGAUCUCUUGGUUCUGGCAUCGAUGAAGAACGCAGCGAAAUGCGAUAAGUAGUGUGAAUUGCAGAAUUCAGUGAAUCAUCGAAUCUUUGAACGCACAUUGCGCCCCUUGGUAUUCCAUGGGGCAUGCCUGUUCGAGCGUCAUUUGUACCUUCAAGCUCUGCUUGGUGUUGGGUGUUUGUCUCGCCUCUGCGUGUAGACUCGCCUUAAAACAAUUGGCAGCCGGCGUAUUGAUUUCGGAGCGCAGUACAUCUCGCGCUUUGCACUCAUAACGACGACGUCCAAAAGUACAUUUUUACACUCUUGACCUCGGAUCAGGUAGGGAUACCCGCUGAACUUAAGCAUAUCAAUAAGCGGAGGAA